UCAAGGAAUAGUUUAAAAAGAAUAUCAACUUUGGGUGUUGAUG
RNAcentral lists this transfer RNA (43 nucleotides) under Paraechinus aethiopicus (desert hedgehog). RNAcentral's name for it is "partial tRNA-Pro". The record is from RNAcentral. Lineage: Eukaryota; Metazoa; Chordata; Mammalia; Eulipotyphla; Erinaceidae.